RNAcentral lists this ribosomal RNA (96 nucleotides) under uncultured bacterium. RNAcentral's name for it is "partial 16S ribosomal RNA". The record is from RNAcentral.
CCCUACGGGUUGUAAACUGCUUUUAUACGGGAAUAAACCUCAGUAUGUAUACUGAGCUGAAUGUACUGUAAGAAUAAGGAUCGGCUAACUCCGUGC